Molecule: non-coding RNA, 92 nt
Submitted as: unclassified sequences
Source: Rfam
CGCGGGUCUGCGCUGGGAGGCACUGUAGGUCGUCCGAACGGGCGGCAGCCGCGAAAUGCGGUGGGAUCCUACAGCCCGGGACCCGCGAUAAG